Molecule: long non-coding RNA, 365 nt
Organism: Helianthus annuus (common sunflower)
Lineage: Eukaryota; Viridiplantae; Streptophyta; Magnoliopsida; Asterales; Asteraceae
Exons: 3
Source: RefSeq, a predicted model, not a curated record
GUGGUAGGACGAGCAGGAGAAAAACAAACGACACCGGCAUGGUGUGACAGGAUCUUAUGGUACGGAAAAGGAGUAAAACAACAUUCUUAUUUCCGUAGCGAGAGCAAGUUCUUCGACCAUUAGGCCCGUAUCGGCUCUUUUCUCUGCACAAAUUGAACUCAUCAAGUCUGAGGAACAAGAAAGAGGUAAGGGGGAGGCUUCAUCUACAUUGCAUUCACUAAUGUCCAAAGAGUCAGAAGCACUAUCAUCAAACAAAAAAUGUCCUAGAACAAACAAAAGGCUAUGAUGCUGAGUUCAUUGGAUAAGAUAAAUUCUCAGUGACUAAACAUUAUUAAGUUUUAGUUUCCAUGAUUCUUUUAUUGAUU